RNAcentral lists this long non-coding RNA (1686 nucleotides) under Androctonus crassicauda. Lineage: Eukaryota; Metazoa; Arthropoda; Arachnida; Scorpiones; Buthidae. The record is from RNAcentral.
UAAAAAUAAUUUAUUAUGAUUAAUUUUCUAAUUAUAAAUUUAGUCAACGAACCGACGAAUCCUUUGUUUUACGUUAUAAAAAAAUUUCUUUGAAAUGGGAAAAAAUACUCAUAAAUGACGUCACGAGCUUUCAACCGGCGCGCUUUAUAUGUAAAAUUUUAAUAGUUUUCUUUACAUUUAAGAAUCGAAUGUCCUUUUUAACGUCUCGUUAUUUUGUUUUAAGUCGAAAGAGUUUAGAAGUUGUUCAAAAUUAGUUUAGAUGGAAGAAGAUGCGUUUUUUGCGGGUUGUAAUCAGAUUCCUGGUGGUUGGAAUUCCGUAGCGAUAGGAAGGCGCUUCAUAAACAAAAUGGGAGAGGAAAGAGAGUUUAAUGGCGAGGAAUUACGAGAAAAAAUCGUAAAACGAGCUCUGAGGGUGAAAGGAGUGGUUUUGAAAUGUAUCAGCUGCUUUGCUAUACUGCACUUGUAAUCAGACUCUGAACCCAUUAUGGGGCAAUGAUUUGAAGACAUCUGGUAUUUUUUGGUGGCCUGAGUGACCCGUCUCCGUAUGAAUUAUUUCUUUCAUUUAAAAAAAAAAUCUAUUCUUAACUGGAUACAAGAUGAUGAAAAAUAUUUACACAUCUCUAAACCAAAAGGAAGUUUGUAAUCUAAGAUGCCGUACUAAGUUAUGCAUAGCAAUUCUUGUUUUAAUUGAAUCAAAGCAAUAGAUGAUAUACGAUAGCUCCUAUGCAUCAUUAAAAAAUGUUAUUCAGCUAUACUAGCAAAUUAUAUACAUACAUAGCCAUUUUAAAUCUAGCCACGUGCUCAGUCAGUCAGAACUUAAAAUUUUUCUCUGUGACGUGUUACUUGCGGGUGUGUCUCUAGGGCACGGACUCAUUUGAUUGGUUAUCCGAUUUAAAAUUAUGUCGAAUGUUUUUAAUAUAGCAAAAACUUGUAAAUUCGAUGGUAAUCUGCGAGUAAACUUGUUGCUAUGGUUCGAGAAAGAGGAUAACGAUUCUUAAAAAAAAUGUUUCAAAAAGAUUUCUGUUCUACGAAUCGAAACCGUUUAUUCCCACAUUUAUGACACACAGCAGACCUUUGACCCAUGACACUGGCCACCUGCGUAAUUUUUUUGUUUAAUUUCUUUGCCCGUUCUUAAUCGAAUCGAAUUACUACAGGAAGAAAGAAUGCCAUUGCUUUGCGGCAGUAAAAAUGUCAUUUGAAAAGUAUGUAAACUGCCGUAUGUGGUUUAAAUUAAUUUUUUUCUUUUUGUUUUGCAAUUAAUCUGACAAUGUUUAUAUAACAUUUACUAUAGUAGUGAAUAUGAAACCAGAUCGUACUUUUGUCAUCUUAAACCUUAUACUGGUGGCUAAAUCAGAGAAUAAUCCCCAUCAAAAAACAAGAGUAUCACGUAUACUGGAGUAGUUGGCAAAUAUCAAAUAUGGAAAACUUACAUAUAUAUAUAUAAUUGUGGGAUGAGUCACUAGCAAUAACAGUCUGAGUCAGAGAAGAGUUGAGUCAAUUUAUCGACAGAAAGGCUCCAGUUUAUACAUAAAAGAUAAAUAUUAAUUAGGUUUUUAUUAAUGUAUUAUCCAGUUUUGUUGGUCGAAUGAUCGUUUGCGUGUGGUUUAAUCUAAUUUAAAAUGAAAAUUAUCGUUUAUAGGUCAAGAUGUGCAAUGCGAAAAAGAAGGAGAAGAAGUUAAAGUGAAA